CGGGCCGUAGCUCAGUAGGUAGAGCGCUUGGUUUGGGACCAAGAGGCCGUGAGUUCGAGUCUCGCCGGCCCGACCA
RNAcentral lists this transfer RNA (76 nucleotides) under Candidatus Uhrbacteria bacterium CG_4_10_14_0_2_um_filter_41_7. Its description in RNAcentral is "tRNA-Pro". It matches the Rfam family "tRNA". From Rfam's summary of the family: Transfer RNA (tRNA) molecules are approximately 80 nucleotides in length. Their secondary structure includes four short double-helical elements and three loops (D, anti-codon, and T loops). Lineage: Bacteria; Candidatus Uhriibacteriota. The record is from RNAcentral. RNAcentral also lists the same sequence under 2 other names.